RNAcentral lists this long non-coding RNA (329 nucleotides) under Olea europaea subsp. europaea. The record is from RNAcentral. Lineage: Eukaryota; Viridiplantae; Streptophyta; Magnoliopsida; Lamiales; Oleaceae.
UUGUUACAGAAAUAUAAUAAUAAUAAUAAGCCCCAUCGACACCCAUUUCUGAGCAAGAGCCUCCUUCUCAGCAAAUGCAUGGGCAUAUUUUAUUUUACUUUUUUUUAUUUAUUUUUUUAGCUUGGUCCGGUUAUACACCCAUGAAUAAACUGAAAGGGUUUUUAUUAUUAAACCAACAAUCGCAGAUCUCAGAAUGCACGUGAAUGGAUUCCCAACCGGUCACCCAUCUAAGUACCGACCACGUCCGAUUCCGCUUAACUCGCGUGAUCGGACGAGAAUUGGUGUAACCACUGAGCUACGAGUGUUGGUUCAGAAAUAUGCUAUACCUA